CAGAGGAUUAGAUGGGGAGCUACCGGUUCCCUGCAGCGCAAAUCCGGUUCAUGGCGCAUCAAAGCUUGAGGGCGAUGCUAGAGACUUAUGAGGCCCUUUUAAUCAACUGAGAAGCUUCGUCCUUUGGAACUGAAUUUAUGGCGAAAACUAGGAGAUCCGGAAGGAAGCACUAGUAAACCGUAAAUUUGGUGUUCAGAGGGUCACGAAGUGGAGAAGGUUAGAAGGAUUAACCUUGUGAGCUUCUAGCAACCACCAAUGGCGCAUCCUCUG
RNAcentral lists this signal recognition particle RNA (270 nucleotides) under Candidatus Micrarchaeota archaeon RBG_16_36_9. RNAcentral describes it as "signal recognition particle sRNA". It matches the Rfam family "Archaeal signal recognition particle RNA". Lineage: Archaea; Nanobdellati; Microcaldota. The record is from RNAcentral.